UCCGGGGGCAACUCCGGAUAACCGGCGAACGGGUGCGUAACACGUGACCAACCUGCCCUCGUGUGGGGGAUAGCCGGGCUAACGCCCGGGUAAUACCGCAUACGUUCUCUUGGGGGAGUCCCCAGGGGAGGAAAGCUCCGGCGCACGGGGAGGGGGUCGCGGCCUAUCAGCUAGUUGGCGGGGUAACGGCCCACCAAGGCGACGACGGGUAGCUGGUCUGAGAGGAUGGCCAGCCACAUUGGGACUGAGAGACGGCCCAGACUCCUACGGGAGGCAGCAGUGGGGAAUCUUGCGCAAUGGUCUAACGACUGACGCAGCGACGCCGCGUGUGGGAGGACGCCUUUCGGGGUGUAAACCACUGUUGCCCGGGACGAACAGCCUUUUUCGAGAGGUCUGACGGUACCGGGUGAGGAAGCACCGGCUAACUCCGUGCCAGCAGCCGCGGUAAUACGGAGGGUGCGAGCGUUGUCCGGAAUCAUUGGGCGUAAAGGGCGCGUAGGUGGCCCGGUCAGUCUUUGGUGAAAGCGCGGGGCUCAACCCUGCGUCGGCCAGGGAUACUGCCGCGGCUCGAGCACUGUAGAGGCAGGCGGAAUUCCGGGUGUAGCGGUGGAAUGCGUAGAGAUCCGGAAGAACACCGGUGGCGAAGGCGGCCUGCUGGGCAGUUUACUGACACUGAGGCGCGACAGCGUGGGGAGCAAACAGGAUUAGAUACCCUGGUAGUCCACGCCGUAAACGAUGGGCACUAGGCGCUUGGGGGAGCGACCCCCCGAGGGCCGGCGCUAACGCAUUAAGUG
RNAcentral lists this ribosomal RNA (794 nucleotides) under uncultured Gemmatimonadota bacterium. RNAcentral describes it as "bacterial SSU rRNA". It matches the Rfam family "Bacterial small subunit ribosomal RNA", at positions 72 to 866 of the family's 1533-position model. The record is from RNAcentral. Lineage: Bacteria; Pseudomonadati; Gemmatimonadota.